Molecule: ribosomal RNA, 253 nt
Filed under: uncultured bacterium
Lineage: Bacteria
Description: partial 16S ribosomal RNA
Rfam family: Bacterial small subunit ribosomal RNA
Source: RNAcentral
UACGUAGGGCGCAAGCGUUGUCCGGAAUUAUUGGGCGUAAAGAGCUCGUAGGCGGCCUGUUGCGUCCGCUGUGAAAUCCCGGGGCUCAACCCCGGGCCUGCAGUGGAUACGGGCUGGCUAGAGGCAGGCAGGGGAGAACGGAAUUCCUGGUGUAGCGGUGAAAUGCGCAGAUAUCGAGAGGAACACCAGUGGCGAAGGCGAGUCUCUGGACAUUUCCUGACGCUCAGGCACGAAAGCCAGGGGAGCAAACGGG